CUUAAGCACUCGGUGAAGUAGGUGAACAAGCUGGAAAGCUUGGCGAUACAGGGUGAUAGCCCCGUAACCGACGCUUCAUCGAGCGUGAAAUCGAGUAGGACGGGACACGUGAUAUCCUGUCUGAAUAUGGGGGGACCAUCCUCCAAGGCUAAAUACUCCUGACUGACCGAUAGUGAACCAGUACCGUGAGGGAAAGGCGAAAAGAACCCCUGUGAGGGGAGUGAAAUAGAACCUGAAACCGUGUACGUACAAGCAGUAGGAGCACCUUCGUGGUGUGACUGCGUACCUUUUGUAUAAUGGGUCAGCGACUUAUAUUCAGUGGCAAGGUUAACCGUAUAGGGGAGCCGUAGCGAAAGCGAGUCUUAACUGGGCGCUCAGUCUCUGGAUAUAGACCCGAAACCGGGUGAUCUAGCCAUGGGCAGGUUGAAGGUUGAGUAACAUCAACUGGAGGACCGAACCGACUAAUGUUGAAAAAUUAGCGGAUGACUUGUGGCUAGGGGUGAAAGGCCAAUCAAACUCGGAGAUAGCUGGUUCUCCCCGAAAGCUAUUUAGGUAGCGCCUCGGACGAAUACUACUGGGGGUAGAGCACUGUUAAGGCUAGGGGGUCAUCCCGACUUACCAACCCUUUGCAAACUCCGAAUACCAGUAAGUACUAUCCGGGAGACACACGGCGGGUGCUAACGUCCGUCGUGGAGAGGGAAACAACCCAGACCGCCAGCUAAGGUCCCAAAGUAUUGCUAAGUGGGAAACGAUGUGGGAAGGCUCAGACAGCUAGGAUGUUGGCUUAGAAGCAGCCAUCAUUUAAAGAAAGCGUAAUAGCUCACUAGUCGAGUCGGCCUGCGCGGAAGAUGUAACGGGGCUAAGCAAUACACCGAAGCUGCGGCAAUGUCUUUUAGACAUUGGGUAGGGGAGCGUUCUGUAAGCCGUUGAAGGUGAAUCGUAAGGUUUGCUGGAGGUAUCAGAAGUGCGAAUGCUGACAUGAGUAACGACAAAGGGGGUGAAAAACCUCCUCGCCGGAAGACCAAGGGUUCCUGUCCAACGUUAAUCGGGGCAGGGUGAGUCGACCCCUAAGGUGAGGCCGAAAGGCGUAAUCGAUGGGAAACGGGUUAAUAUUCCCGUACUUCUGACUAUUGCGAUGGGGGGACGGAGAAGGCUAGGUGGGCCAGGCGACGGUUGUCCUGGUUCAAGUGCGUAGGCUUGAGAGUUAGGUAAAUCCGGCUCUCUCUAAGGCUGAGACACGACGUCGAGCUACUACGGUAGUGAAGUCAUUGAUGCCAUGCUUCCAGGAAAAGCCUCUAAGCUUCAGAUAGUCAGGAAUCGUACCCCAAACCGACACAGGUGGUCGGGUAGAGAAUACCAAGGCGCUUGAGAGAACUCGGGUGAAGGAACUAGGCAAAAUGGUACCGUAACUUCGGGAGAAGGUACGCUCUUGAUGGUGAAGUCCCUCGCGGAUGGAGCUGACGAGAGUCGCAGAUACCAGGUGGCUGCAACUGUUUAUUAAAAACACAGCACUGUGCAAAAUCGCAAGAUGACGUAUACGGUGUGACGCCUGCCCGGUGCCGGAAGGUUAAUUGAUGGGGUUAGCGCAAGCGAAGCUCUUGAUCGAAGCCCCGGUAAACGGCGGCCGUAACUAUAACGGUCCUAAGGUAGCGAAAUUCCUUGUCGGGUAAGUUCCGACCUGCACGAAUGGCGUAAUGAUGGCCACGCUGUCUCCACCCGAGACUCAGUGAAAUUGAAAUCGCUGUGAAGAUGCAGUGUACCCGCGGCUAGACGGAAAGACCCCGUGAACCUUUACUACAGCUUGGCACUGAACAUUGAACCUACAUGUGUAGGAUAGGUGGGAGGCUAUGAAGACGUGACGCCAGUUGCGUUGGAGCCGUCCUUGAAAUACCACCCUUGUAUGU
This 1904-nucleotide ribosomal RNA is filed under the name Vibrio cholerae. Its description in RNAcentral is "partial 23S ribosomal RNA". It matches the Rfam family "Bacterial large subunit ribosomal RNA", at positions 312 to 2213 of the family's 2925-position model. The record is from RNAcentral. Lineage: Bacteria; Pseudomonadati; Pseudomonadota; Gammaproteobacteria; Vibrionales; Vibrionaceae.